CCUCUUUGCACUGGUGAUUCAGUGAGAGAGCUAGAGAGGGCGCUUCUCACUAAGAGGCUGAUUAUGUUUCAUUUGUCUAUCAGUUGUCUAUCAGAGUAAACCAGUGAAAUC
Non-coding RNA from Pimephales promelas (fathead minnow), 111 nucleotides. The record is from RefSeq and is a predicted model, not a curated record. NCBI's taxonomy places the organism in Eukaryota, Metazoa, Chordata, Actinopteri, Cypriniformes, Leuciscidae.